Long non-coding RNA from Myotis davidii, 788 nucleotides. RefSeq lists it as uncharacterized. The record is from RefSeq and is a predicted model, not a curated record. The transcript has 4 exons. Lineage: Eukaryota; Metazoa; Chordata; Mammalia; Chiroptera; Vespertilionidae.
UGCAAAGUGGUAAGGUUACAUCAGUUCUCCCUGUCAAAGGAUCAGACACUUAAGUUUGGGGAUUUGGUUUGUAGUUAUGACUUAGUUCCCUGUUCACAAAUUCCCAGGAGAUGAGAAUUCCUUAGCUUGGGGGCCAGUGGAGGCCCAGAGUGGCUGCUAGUUCUUCCUUUGGACUAGUGAAAGAUUUGCUGAAGAUCUUCAUUGGUUCUGCUGCUUUGGAACCACCACAGAUGCUGCUGGAGCCUGCGGUUGCCUGCUGCUGCUUAUGGAGGGAAUUUAGUGUGAGAUUUGCAAGAAGAUAGUGAAAAAUAUAUUUUAAGGACAAGAUUCACUGUUGUAAUGUGUUUUGACAUCUUUAGAAAGCCAAUGGACAACCCUAAAUGUUUACCAUGUGAUUCGCCCACAUGUUGUCUUCAGACAUGCAUAUAGAUGGUUUAAGUGGAUACCAGCAUCCUCUUUUGGUAUACAGCACCCACCAUAAGCAUUCCUAGGAGCCCAGCGCCCGAUUCAAAAUUGCGUGGCGCUGUCCACCCUUGAGUCGCCGGUCCAGCUCUGCCUCUCUCUCCAGCACUUGAAGCAGCCUGGGCCGUUGCUGAUCAGGCCCUCCCGCAGCACAGGUGCACGGAGGCCCCUACCGCCUGCCCCCGAUGCUACGUGUGCAACCUCCUCCUAUCCAGUCUACCCAUUACGGUGUCCCGGUUAAUUAACAUAUUUCUCUAUUUUAUAUAUAUGGGUAAUUAACAAACUACAACGUUUGCUAAUGACUGAUUACUAUACUCGUGUUGCAU